Small nucleolar RNA from Tachyglossus aculeatus (Australian echidna), 137 nucleotides. The record is from RefSeq and is a predicted model, not a curated record. NCBI's taxonomy places the organism in Eukaryota, Metazoa, Chordata, Mammalia, Monotremata, Tachyglossidae.
GCCCUCUCAGGGUCAACCUGGAGAGUUUCCAGUACUCUACCAGUCUCGACUAUGGGAGGGACAGUCAGGCAGUGGCAUUCCCAUUCCAUUCCUAGUUUGAGCAGUGGCUAGUGAGUGGAAGGCAAUCUGCUACAAGU